Molecule: ribosomal RNA, 468 nt
Filed under: uncultured bacterium
Lineage: Bacteria
Description: partial 16S ribosomal RNA
Rfam family: Bacterial small subunit ribosomal RNA
Source: RNAcentral
GACGAACGCUGGCGGCGUGCUUAGCGCAUGCAAGUCGAACGGAAAGGCCCUGCUUUUGUGGGGUGCUCGAGUGGCGAACGGGUGAGUAACACGUGAGUAACCUGCCCUUGACUUUGGGAUAACUUCAGGAAACUGGGGCUAAUACCGGAUAGGAGCUCCUGCUGCAUGGUGGGGGUUGGAAAGUUUCGGCGGUUGGGGAUGGACUCGCGGCUUAUCAGCUUGUUGGUGGGGUAGUGGCUUACCAAGGCUUUGACGGGUAGCCGGCCUGAGAGGGUGACCGGCCACAUUGGGACUGAGAUACGGCCCAGACUCCUACGGGAGGCAGAAGUGGGGAAUAUUGCACAAUGGGCGGAAGCCUGAUGCAGCAACGCCGCGUGCGGGAUGACGGCCUUCGGGUUGUAAACCGCUUUCGCCUGUGACGAAGCGUGAGUGACGGUAAUGGGUAAAGAAGCACCGGCUAACUACGUG